AUACGGAGGAUGCGAGCGUUAUCCGGAUUUAUUGGGUUUAAAGGGUGCGUAGGCUGUGCGUUAAGUCAGGGGUGAAAUGCCGUCGCUCAACGACGGAGCUGCCCUUGAUACUGGCGUGCUGGAGUACGGAUGCCGUUGGAGGAAUGAGUGGUGUAGCGAUGAAAUGCUUAGAUAUCACUCAGAACACCGAUUGCGAAGGCAUCUGACGAAUCCGUCACUGACGCUGAGGCACGAAAGCGUGGGGAUAGAACAGGAUUAGAUACCCUGGUAUUCCACGCCGUAAACGAUGAUGACUAACCGUCGGCGAUAGACAGCCGGUGGCCAAGCGAAAGCGAUAAGUCAUCCACCUGGGGAGUACGUCGGCAACGAUGAAACUCAAAUGAAUUGACGGGG
This 393-nucleotide ribosomal RNA is filed under the name uncultured bacterium. RNAcentral describes it as "partial 16S ribosomal RNA". It matches the Rfam family "Bacterial small subunit ribosomal RNA", at positions 523 to 918 of the family's 1533-position model. The record is from RNAcentral.